UCUAGGUAACCUCCGCAAGUAAUAAUAAUAAUACACCGCAGUGGUUCGUAAAGAGCCCCGGAGUCAAUGACUUCGACGGUAACGUGUGCGUGUAAUGCGUACCAAACCACAACAAGCCUUUCCGCCGGUUCGGGUUUUUUUUUGCCGUCCUCGACUCGUCGGUUUCAGGAUAUUUUUCACAACAGAAACUGUCCGGUACGACCAUGCGGCAUCGACGACGUUUCCCGUAUCCCGUUUUGCGGAAUUCCCACCGGUCGCGGUAUCUUAACGACCACGGUAUAAUUCGUCCGGGACAGGUUUCUGUGUUGUACCGCGGUUCGCUACGUACGUGUAUGCAUUACCGGUGUUACACGCCUCUCUCGGAAGCGUCAUCGUACGAGGCGCCCUCGAGAUGUUAUGCAAACCAGACAUGCUCGUCCGAUCAAUAAUAAAACACACGAUUGGCUGGAUUUAAUGAAAAUCUGUCUAUGGCAACUGCCAUUAAUAGCAUUAGCCACAAAAUUACUGGUGCCAACCAAGUCCAGACAGCUCGACUAAACAACGAAUCAAAGGAAAACAACCAACAUUAUAUUAAUUGCGUAUCAAUUACAAGAACUACCCCAAUAGAUCUUGAGGUAAAAUUAAUGGACAAUGAGAAUUCUACAUUCACUGAAAAAAAGGUCUGCAAAAUGACUAAUACACUCACGGGUCAUAAUGAGUUGAUUGCUGUCCAAAUACAUGAUCAAAUCGAGACCGUCAAUAUUACUAUGAACAAUUAUAAAAAGAAAAGUACAGACAAUAAAGUAGAAGCACAUUUAAAAUGUGAUCCGAUAGGCGCCCUGCAAGAACUGUGGUAUGUCUCGAGAUUAGAUAUUUCCGGAAUAUCAGUUUUUCGAAGAAGGAGAUAGUAAAACUUUUACAUACUCAGUUGUGUGUACUGUAAUGACAUUCACUAUCAGGGUAGUAAAGUUCAUUUGGCAAAAGAUGUCCCUGAAAAAAAUGUCGGAAGUCAUGGAAUGGUUAGUGAUGCACAUGUGUUCACGUUAGCGAGAUUCCACCCAGAACCGGAUACUACAGACGUCGUUGACGCACCAACAUUUACUUCAGGCAAUGAAAAGAAAUGCGUAAAAGUAAAAAAAAGACUCAACAUUUAAAAUGCGCAAUGACGUUUUAAGUCAUCCGGUAUCACUUGAAGAACACGAUACUGAUCGUCUGAUCAAUGUCUUCCAAAUUCCCUAACCGCAAUGAAUAUCACGUGUCACAUGUAAACAAAUCAGUUAUCGUUAACGAAGACAAACAAUCAUUAUUUGCUUCUGUAAACGUUGAGUUUGCCAAACGAUUUCGACUAUCAAAUAAUCCGGGUGAUUGUGAAUUGAAGGAAAUGAAAUUCAUAAGCAUGCUUACGAAUGACGAGCUUUUGCAACAAAUCGCCGAAGUGUAAAAGUUAAUUUUGAAUUAUGAAAUUUUCGAAUGCUGCCAAGUCAAGAAGAUGCGGCUUAUGAGUGUUUGACGCGCUUCAAAUCAAUUCUAGAAGAUUAAAUGUACAUUAUAAAUCAAAGCAUUAGAUUUCUAUAUGUGGAACGAGCGGAUGAAAGAGAAUUUUAAAGUCCACCGAUCGUCUGUGUUCGGAUCACUAUGCUCAACAAUAAGACUCGAUAGCAUUUUAGCAUUUAAGAUUGUUAGCAUCAAAACCGUACAAAAACAGUACAAAUUGAAAAUAUUUUCAACACAUUAUGUAAUUAUUCAACCCACUUCGGGUAGAAUAUCUCUUUUCUUAUCGAUAUCUA
Molecule: long non-coding RNA, 1766 nt
Filed under: Sipha flava (yellow sugarcane aphid)
Lineage: Eukaryota; Metazoa; Arthropoda; Insecta; Hemiptera; Aphididae
Description: uncharacterized LOC112684547
Source: RNAcentral